Lagopus muta (rock ptarmigan) is the source of this 11214-nucleotide long non-coding RNA. RefSeq lists it as uncharacterized. The record is from RefSeq and is a predicted model, not a curated record. The transcript has 3 exons. NCBI's taxonomy places the organism in Eukaryota, Metazoa, Chordata, Aves, Galliformes, Phasianidae.
AGAUGAAACAUUUUACAAAAGUGAAACAUUAUUUUGUUCAUACAGUUAAGAAUUGAAACUGUACGCAUUCUUGUAAUACUACGUUUACACCCCCAUCCCCUGUAAAAUAAAUAAAUAAAUGAAUAAAUCCCAAAGAUAUUUAAAAUAAACAGAAGAGGCAAUUGAAUACAUUAAAAAAAAAAGGGGGGGGGGGGGGGGAUCUGGGGGGAAGUGCAAUCCAAAGGCAUUAUUUCUAAGUAGCUGCCAAAAAAGAUCUUCUUUCACUACAUGUCAAGGAAGAGGAGAAGAGUUCUGAAAUGGUACAGCCUAUUUCUAGGAAGGAAGCAAAAAGAGCUGCUGGACUUGGAUAUAUACUUACAGCUUUGUGCUGUAUCACUCACAAGAUUUGUUCCAGAUUAAGGCGUAAUAAGGCCAACCAAAUUUGAGUAAUAUUAUUAAACCUUGCAUUCAGCUAUGAACGUCUUGAACUUUGGCUUAAGUCAGCAAAACACUUAAAAGUGUUCAGAAAAAAAUGUGCUAAUAAAUUAGGAUCUUCAUCAAAACCUGCUAGCUCAUAGGCACAACCAGAUUAUUUAUUUUUUUAUUUUAUUUUAUUUUAUUUAUGUUAGUAUUCACCUAUUGGCCUUUCUUAUGUAUACCUAUUUCUAGGUAUAUGUUGCAUAUUUGUAGCAGAGGAUCUCAAAUUCACUUAUAAAUAUUAACAACAAAAAAAAGUGUUUUUUCAAACUUAGACGUUAGUAAAUUGACAAAAAUCUUGCUUAAAACAAAAAGCUUUAAACCAGGGUAUGCAUUACGUGCACUACUUGAAAACCAAAAUUGAUUUCAGGCAAGGAAUUUCUUACUAAAUUUAACAGCUACCAUGUAAUCAACACUUUUCUGCACAGCUGGGGGUUAUGUGGAAAUAAAGAGCUCUUUUAAAAAUCAUGGCCCUAUAUCCUAUGAACUUACAUUUUUGUUCCAAGUUCACCAGCUUGUGAAAAAUAUUAUAUUAGUAGGGAGGGAAAAGAAAAACAUCAGAAUUUCUGUAUCAGGGCUGUAGCGAAUAUUUCAGAACGCUUCCUUUCCUGCUCUGUGGCAAGAUCCCAGUGACAGGCUGGCUGACAGCACCUUGCCUCAGUGAAAUGCAGGCACUUCUGAUACUGCCGAGUUCCAGACCUGACAGCAAAUACUGUCCUUUGCCUGGGAGAUGGCCCCAGAAAUUUAGCCUGGGGAUGUGAUGACCAUGAUGUAAUGUUUUCUUAUCCGAAUCAACAAAACUGAAUAUUGUAUGUGAAGUUAUUCUGAUUUUAUUGUUGCUCUUAAUUGAACUACUUAUUCACCCAAGACUUGCUGAGUUGCCCAGCAGUCCCUUUGAAACAACACACUGUCUACUAUUUUAAUCUUGAAAUACUUGUAUAAGAAAAUCACAAAUACUUGCAUAAGAAAAUUCCAACAGUGUAACUUUUAUGUCAACAAUUAUAUAGCUAAGAAGUGAAUAAGCUGAACACAUCCAAUUUGCAUACAACAUUUCUGAAAUGAGAAUAAUAAACUGGUUUCAAACCUCCCCUGCUGAACGUGCUUUCAAGUAAAUUCGUGCUGGAGUUUAAAAGCAUACUCUACCAUCUGCUGAGAAUGAAAAUCUGGGUCUUAUAUAUUUGGCAUGGCAAAUAAGGACAUGAACCAACCACACUCUGCCUUUUAGCAUUUCAAAGAAACUGUUCCAUACCUGUGAACUAAACCAUGCAUUUUGCCCUAUUUCUUGACAAGUUUGAUUAAUUUGCUCUGAUGUUGAUCCUGUUACUGGUAUACAGCUACUGAUAUCUAAAUUUAAGCAUGUUUGGGUAAUAGCAUUUGUUAAUAAUUGCAUUCUUUAGUAAUAGUAUUUAUUACUGUAGACAUAGGCACAUGAAUCAACCUGGAGUGUUUUUGGGAGUUCACAGAGCAAGAAAAAACAUCAGGGUUUUUGCUGCAGAGCCAUGCUGUUUCAGGCAAAUAUAUGAGAAACACAGAAACAGUUAAAAAAAAAAAAAAAAGUGUUUAAGUGUUUACUGCUUUUUCUUGUAAGUUAAAUAUUCUGUCUGACUUUUGUUUUCACAUUCAAGAUUCUACUUUAAAUAGACAGAUAAAAAUGCAUACCACUGCUAAACAGAAAAUCCCUUAUCCUUUCCUUGAGUAGAGCUACGUGCAGUACCAUCACUGGCUUGUUCUUGCUGCUGCCCCACACCUUUCCCUGCUGCAUUACGCUCCCAUCCCCUCCCUUGCCCUUCCCUCACUGCCUGCCAUUUCAGCAACUCCGCACUCUGCUCAGCCCACGGAGAUGCCUCCACCCAUUCUUUCUUCGCUCAUCUUUUUGCUUUCCAUGCUCUUCUCCCUCUGCAGCCCUGCUCUCAGGCAGACUAUCUCCUGGGCUUGCACUGGCUCAGCCUGGUUGUCUAAAGCAACAAUAGUUUCCCAUUGCUCCCUUACUUUCCACUGUCUGACACAAAAAGUAACAUUAGGAUUCAGGUCUGGUAGAAAUUCUAACAUUCUCCUUGUCUCAGAAGCUGAGGGUGGGUAAAGCAGGUUUUAUAAAAGCCAAAUUAAUAUAGUAAUGGUCUUUAUCAACAUUCUGUGCCGUACACUUCACUCUUCUCUAGGCUUUUUGACAUUUAGUAUUCUUGUCUCAGGGUAAACACACACAAAACUAAAUAUUGGAAUGAAUUCAAACUAAGCAUGCUUACAAAAAACAGUGUAACAAAGUAAUAUUUAAAUAGGUCUGUCUGCUAAGAUCUAUGUAGAUCUGUAGACCACACUGAGAUGGUGUUUUUGCUUUGCUGAGGUAAGAGCCAGAAAAGAAAAGAUCAAAAUGAAAAUCACAAUGCAACCUCUUUACUGCAUAUGUUUUUUGAUAUGACAAUUUACAUCUCCUACUAGCUGUUAAGAAGUUAUAAUCUGCUUCUCAGAUGCCCUUUGAUUCACAGAAAACUAUUUUCACAAGGAAAAGGAUCAGGAAAAUUAUGGAGUUUCUAAAAUAAUCUGUAAUAAAACAUUAUCUGACCACAGCUCUUUAGUUCUCUGCUCCUUCCCCUUCCACACAUACCCCUUCAAACAAGACGGAGCUCUUGUGACAGGAUCUCUGCAUGCACAAUGUCCAUAAGGUGCCCCGGCUACGAUGUUCACAUUCUAAAAUUCUGUUUUAGGAAUCCUCCCCUGAAAGGGACUGGUAUAAACCUGCUGAAGUCUAUGGACAAAUAGAUCCCUAUCUGACUUAAGGGUCGUGAUCUUUAAGUCAGAACUAUGAAUCAACCUUUCUUAUCAUUAAAAAUUAACCUUCAGUCAACCCUAAGUGCACGUCUAGAGACGUGUCAUACUGGAACAAUCAGAGUUGCAAACACAUAGGAGUGGCAAUUCCCUUCCAAAAAUCUUGUCUGGCCAGUUCUGCUUACGCCCUCUCACAGCCACCAGGAAGAGCCAACAGCGUUCCCACUGCUUGGAAUUCAGCAUCAGAUGCUCAUCAGUAGAUACAGGGGGAACUUCUGAGAAAAUAGCAUGUAUGUUCUAAUAAAGAAGAACCACUGCAGAUCUGUAAACUAGAAAUGCUGCUGUUCAGCUCAUUCCAAUGUACAAACUUGCAAAGGUGAAAGGAACUGGAUCAUAUACAGCCUUCCCAAAGCUCAUAACAGAAGAUGAGCUGUCCUGAUAGUGCAUUUCGAAACACCGUUCAGAAGUAAAUUUUGGAGAAUGAUUGAUGCCUUCCAUCUUGAAAAAAUCAGGGCUUCUGUUUUCCCUGCCCAGUAGAAUCUGCUGGGGAAUCUGGUAGGAAAUAUUAGUGCUCUCUGGAGCAGAAGCAGGCAUCUAUUGGGCAAGAAAGAAGGGCCUCUCUAAGGUCGAUCUGGCUAGUCAGGGCAAGUGUUUCCCAAUAUCUAUUUACUUUAGCUACAAGGCUGCAUGUAGAAUAUUUGCAUUGCAUGAGACGUCUCUAAAGACAUCUCAUUUACUUGGUUCAGCCUCCCUUUAAGAGGCGCAGAAAAAGAAGAGAAAAGGGUCAGACUAUUUUUGUGUGGCUUUUGUGACCUUGAGCUGCAAGAGCCCAAGGACCUCCUUGGUCACUCACCUUGCAGCCAGCAAGCUGCAUGGAAUCACUGCAGAUACCAGCAAGGCAGGUCUCUUUACACCUUUUGCAUUCACCUUUAAUAUAAAGAACUUUCCAGAUAACUCUUAAAUAGGCUGCCUGGUGUCACAGCAGAGCCCGUAAGCUAAUGUCUACAUACCACAAUCCUCAUGCAGUUCAACAUAAGCAGUCUUCUGAAUGGUAAACAAAUCAAUCUGUUUAUUAAUGGCGGCUUGACAGUAAAGGGUCAGUAUAUAACAUUUAUACUUAUUGACUCGAUACAACUGACUUCAUAUUCAUCACUUUCACAUGAAAAUGGAAUCGUUCUUGCCUUUGUAUUUCAGAUAUUUUCUACAGCUGCUGAAAGAAAAGAAGCUAAGCCGGCAGGCUGGCACGUGGGGAACUCUGGCACACGGCACCAGUGCAGAUAAAAACUUCUUUAGAGCUGGUGAAUGCAGCACUGUAGCAGAGUGACAUUUACCAGCUAAAACACUGUAACACAGCUUCACUGGGAUGAAAUGUCAGGCCACUGGUUAAAAACAAAACCAAGAAAAGCAGAAAACUUGCAGUUUUUCCUGUAAAGAUGUAAACAUACAUUUGCUGUAUAUCCUUAAUGGACAAGCAUUUGAGUACUGCUUGUAUUCCCAAAUUAAAAUAAUCAAUUAGACCUCCCUGCUGCCCUGGUAAUGCCCUUUCCUAACUGUACUAAGAAGCCUGAGAAAAGGAUGUGGUUGGUAAAGACAGAGAGCUACUCAAAGAGGCAAAGGAGAGGAGAAUGAUACAGGAUUGACCCAAACUGGGUUAUUGUAUGAUCUUUGUUUAUCUAUGCAAUAGAAGAGACCUACUUUUUUAACAAAGUAAGAAAAAAAAAUUACAACAUAAGAAAAAUCAGGCAUUUUAUGCUCCCUAGAAAGAAAUGUGGGACUAAAAAUGGUUACUUAUAAAUUCUGUUUUCUUCAUAUUUUUGCUAGACUGCUAAAACUCACCUUUUGUUAUAAACACUUCAUUUAAACAGCUUAUUAGCAUUUGGGAACAGAAAGUAAUGGUUCAGGCUGUGAAAGGCCAGAAGGUAUCUCUGAGGUUUGUCAGAAAGGUCAAGGAAACCUAAACAGCCGUUCCUGACAUUUUAAGGAAGGAAAGGGAAAAGGAAAGGGAUUUAAAAAAAAAAAAAAAAGAAAAGGAAAACAGGGGAGAAAGAGAGGAAGUGGGAAACUGGUUUGAACAACAAUUGAAAAGCAGUCGGCACAGAAGACAAAGGAGUUUUCAAAUAUGACCAUACUGCAAUGUACUCACAGAACAGAUUUGUGAAAUAAGCUUUCCUAUUUGCAAAUAAGACUUUAUUUAAAAACAAAAAAAUAAUUAAAUUUCUCUUUCAAGAGGAAAGAGCAUAAAUCAUUCUUGCUCAGCUCUGAGAAACAGCUUGAACCAUCUACAGAUGUGACAGAGCUCUUUGGCCAAGGGUAUUGCCAGCAGACCCUUGAUUCAGACACUGAUUUUUACGUUUCCCACUUCACCUUGGAACGCAAAUUCUGGCUUUGGAAUGGGAUUUCAAACAUCAGCAAGAUGUAACGACUAGAGAAAGCUGCUGAAAGGCAAGUCAAGUCAUCUGUGCAUUUUCAUUUUAACUGCAUGUUCUUAGCUGAUGACAGACACCGAAAUGUUGUGUUGUUGAUAGUCUGUCUUGCAUAACAAAAAUAAAUAAUGAAGCGCGUUAGCAAGUUAUAAUGUAUAAAACCUUGAGAAAAUCAGCUUUAGAAAACUCUUGAGACAAGGACAGACAAAAAAGCAAGCCUUUCACAAACUCAGUAGAAAUAACAAUAAACACAAUUCAAUGAGACGCAAAUACAGAACUCUAACAGGGGCAGAAUGCACUGUCUCGAUACAAAGAAAUCUCCUUCAGGAAACUGCAAAUCUGACCAUAGAAUAACUUGAAGGAUCUCUCAGAAACAAAGGAAAUGGAGCAGAAAGAAUGGUUACAAUGACAGAGGAACCAAGCAGUCAGACUAAGUGAAAGCUAUGCAAAGAUCCUUGGUCUCUGAAGGGAAAACUACAAGAAAAACCAUAAUAACAAACUUAUUUUUAUGGAUGGGCCAGUGUUGGAUAUUUAAGGAGUUUAUUCCCUGUUAUGAAUUCAGAGCGUAAUAAAUGUCUUUGUGGGUGUUUUGCUUGGGGGAGGGACGGGGGGCAAGAGGGGAGGAGCGAGUUAAUGUUUUCUGUGGCACAUGAAGUAGAAUCUACAACAAACUCAUUUGUACUCUGCCAUGCAAAUUAUAGAAUCUUACAAGCUUACCACCACUUGCUUGUUUUUAGUAUCAUCUUACUGUAUUGAAAAAUCCACAUUUAUGUACUGUAAAGUACUCAGCUGAACAAUUUCUUACUUCACCUACAGAAGUACCAAGCAGCUACAUAGGUAGGUGUAAUGCAGCUGCUUGGUUUCAGCUGUGUUACCUUGUCCUGCCUGAAGAUCCCCAGGGAUCUGAUUCAACUCACCUGGAGCCUGUGAGAAACACAGCUGAGUGCAGUAGCUGUGCUGCAGCUCUCUCAAUAUUUGAGACUCCUCUAAUGAAAAAGUUAAUGAAAAGUAUUGGUGAACAAACAUUUCAGCUUUUAAUAGUAAAUAUAUUUACUUUAUGAGCUUAUGAUUGAGCUGCAAGCCUGAUAAGCCAAGAAACUUGGGUUGUGCUCGUGGCUCUGCUGUGGAUUCAGCAUGAGAUUUAGUAUAUGAUGCUUUCUCUUACAUUGGUAUUUUCUAUCUUAACACCAGGAAAACAAUCAUUUAUUUCUUAGAGAGGAUGCAUCAAGAUUCCUGUAUAUCCCUUUCACCAAAGUUCUCCAGGUAUGGUAAGAAUUGCUUUUUUGAGCAUGCAUUUGUAUGGAUAGCUAACACAGAAAAAACUGUGACUUUUUCAUAGCAAGUAACUCUAAAAGGUUUCAAAAAUAAAUUGUUGGUGCAUGUGGAGGUAUUGCAGUUAUGACAGCAAUCAGAUAUUCUAGAAAAUGUAUGUCUGUUCAGUAAUCAGAAAGGGGAAAAAAAAGAAAGAAAUGUUAGAAUUUAUGAGAGAAAGGGAUUUCUACUAAGCUUAAUGUAAGUAUGGGAGAAGGAGCAUCCUUGUUCAGUCUUCUCCUAUUUUAGCUGUUUAACGUGUCUGAAAAUUGAAGAUUUGAACCUCAAGGAAUACUACCUUAGUAUUUUAAAUCUUUAAAAAAAAAAAAGAAAGCAGGAUCCUUUUCCAAUAACUCCUUGCUAUUACUGUUAUUGAUGGGGGGAGGAAGAAAGUCACUUUCCAUUUGAAUAAUAUCAAGGUCAAUGAAAAACCUACUAGUUUAUUCCUUCUGAAGAAUGAAAAUACUACCCUGUUCACCUUCCCCUGCAAAGUGUAAAAAAACAGCUAAGAUUUCACACUAUUUCCUGUUUAACUGUGCUUACAGAACACAGACUAGGACAAAAAAUCUACAUGUGUAGUCUGGUGUAAAACAGGUAAUUAAAGUAGAAUGAAUUAUACCUGGAUACACUUUUGUCUUCUACUCUCUCAAUCACGUGACUAAUCAUGUGCACAAAAGAUAGUUAUAGUUCUCUAUAGCAAGAGCUUGUGUUUGAGCUAAUCAGUGGUUACAGCCUGUAGAACUGCUAGGAAAAUAUUUAUUGUCCACUUCUGGGCAUUUUAUUGCUAAGUUUCAUUGUUAUUAUCACAUAAUAUACACAGUAGGUGAGGUGCUCUUCAGAACAAGCAGAGACUUGUGUCAUUCUGCAAGCAGAUUACCCAACUAGGGCAAAUCAUACCAGUGAAUACCAGAAUGGGAGAGAGAUGUGGAAGAGUAAUUACUUAAAUUAGAAUGUGCAGUUGGUUUCCUAAUGUGCAGUACCUUUUCUCUGCUUUGAUGGGAGUAUUAUUUUCAUCGAAGACUAAAAAAGUUUGGAGAAAGCGAGACAGAAAUCCUAGCUGGGAUUUUCUCUAGGGGAGAAAAGCAGUAGUUUCAUGAAAUACUAUGGACAAAUCCACAACAGGAUUUAAUUAUGACAGCACUUGGUAUCAUCAUUUCUGCCUUCUAGGCGUUCAGUUGCCUGGCUCCAAGUUCUCAUUCAUUGUACUCAGAAGCAGGGAGCCAGAUGAUGCGUUUCAUGUCGAUGUUGGUGCAUAAAACAGUAAAAGAAGCUCCCAGUUUCUGGAUCUUAGCAGAGCUCAGGAAUGUGGCUACUUGACACUGUCAAGAUGUAAACAACUCAAGUCUGUUUCUGGGUGUGCCUAAGGGCUUAACUGUUGGAAAGAAAGAUAACCUGGGUCAAGAAAAGCCUCUGGAGUUAGGCACAACAGCCUUGGGGAAGAAGGAGUUAGAAUCAAGACUUAGGUACAUGUAGAGAUGUGCAAGUUUGACUUUUUUUUUAAAUGAAGCUAACCUUAAGUUUAACUAUCCUGUAUUUCAGACCAAAAGUGGCAGGUCCACAAGUGGGGAAAAAAAAGGUUUCUGGAGAAGUAAUUUCCAUCCAUAUAUGAUGCUUUUGUAGAUACAUGGAAGCAGAACGGGACAUGUGAGCUCAGCGUAUUACUCAGCAUAGUUGUCAUGUAUAAAAUAAGAAUAACAGAAACAAUCAAUUGAAAACAAUAAUGAAGGACAGGGCUGGCAAAUCUCAGACACAACAAGGACAAUGGUUCUGUGAGCAACAAGAAAACUGAAGACUAGGACCUUCUGAACUACUGACUAUUUUGGGUGUCUGGAGAAGACUUCAUUCAAAGGAUUGAGCCUGUAUUCUUCAAACUUGCAAAUGUUCCUGACAAGCCUAAAAACAAGUGUAAGGAUUUGGGGACCACAUAUACAUACAAAUGAAUUAGAAGCAAUUCAAAUGCAUCAUUUCCUCCUGCAGUUCAAGAAAAAAGUCUCCUUGACUGAAAAUAUACAGUACCUGUAAGUUCUGCUGUUUAAAAUGAUGAAGCUCUCAGCAUGAUGUAAUCACGUGCUUGUUUCUUAACUCAGCAUUGAUUUCCAGGCCUAAAGUUUUUGAUGGAUCCUGUAAACUCCACCCUUUCUAGGUCUUUACUAAUCAUUUACAUUCUGCCAUGAGUGGGGGGAGAACAUUUUCCUCUAAAGGCAAUUGUUGUACAUAUUAUACAGAAUCUUUUCACUGGCAAUGGUGAAGCAUUUCAAUUCCUGUAUCACUUUACUUUGAUAAGUGUUUUAAAUCUUUAUAGCUUUCUGACUUAAUAUGUUUUAAAGAAUUCCUGAACUAUGAGAUACAUACGCAAGCAUCUUGUAGUAGAGUAUACACGUAGUACACAAGCUACUCUGAAGUGGAAUAAGAUUUGGCAUAAAGCUAAAGAUGUUUCUGAUUGUGGCAGUACCAGCUGCUGUCAAUGGGCAAUGAUGGUACCUGGCAAAAAAAAUCCUCCCCUUUAGCCCACUUUUAAUCGUGGAUACAGCAGAAUCUUAGGACAGAAGUUUGAACUAGUGGUUUUCUUAAAGACUGCAGAGGUCUUAGGUCUUACAGGCCUUGAUAAAAUAUAUUCUUAAUUCUAUGAAGACAAGUGUUUUAUUGAAGUGUUCUAUGGAAGCAUUUGGCUUUCACUUUAAAUUCCUCCCAUAAACAAAAGAACCACAGAAUUACAUUUGUAACUUCCUGCUCUUCUCCUACAAUGUAUCCUGUUGACACUUUUAAUAAUACAAUAAAGCUAGAGUGGGAUUUUCCAGUCAGUUUCUUUUGCGUUAUUUAGUUUUAGAAACAUAUAUAUAUUAAAUGAAACCAGUGGCAUAGCAAAGCAAUUCCUAAACAUUUUAUGCCUUUUAAUUAUAAACUGCUUCAUGUAAACAUUCCCCUACUAUUUCCCCCUGAAAAUGAAAAUCACUGUAAAAGGAAAAGUAACCCAUUCCCUCCUCCCUCCCAACUUUAUCUCCAAUUUCCAAAACAGCCUUGGAAAACAAGAACUGGAAAGAAGACACUUCUGUUGUUCUGCACAUUAAACUGCUCUAAAAUCCAGGAAGCAAGGAGUUUUUGAUCUCAUAGGAGCUGACCAAUAUUACUAAAACUAAUGAGAUCAAAUUAUUCACAGCAGCUUCUCUAAAUUUUCAAAACAGCUCAAAUACAUUUGAGCCUCUUUGUAAAUCACCAUAUAGUUCACAGUUGGAGCUAAAAAAUUCGGUGUACAAACAUCCUUUGUGUAUGUGUGUGUGUGUGUAUGUAUGUUGCUACUAAAUUAUGCAAAAUAACUUGUAACUGCACAAGUUCAUACAGGUUUCACUGAACUAUUAUAUUUGAAAACACAUUAAAACAUUCAUUUGAAAUUCUGUUAAAAUGCCUUUUUAACAAUGAGUUUGGAUAUCUGAGUCCUUAAUAUGACAAACUCAGCAGAAAGUCAGCUUUCACUGAAUUUUUACUUAAAGAAUUGUAAGACUUAAACCUGGGAGUCCAACGUGCGACCUUUUGAGAGCUGCAUUAAUACGAAACUUUAUUGAUCAGAUAUGUCAUAAUACUUUAUUUCUGUAAUCUGACAAACCUGAAUUCUGAUUUGAUUAAGUGUGUGGAAUAUUUAAAUAUAUAUUUUGUAAUUAGCAGCUCUGGGGGGACUGCAGCUUUGUGAGCAGCUUGAAAAGAUUACCAAAAGUGAGAGGAAUCUGGUUGCCACUGUGGCAAUGAUGUUUUUGUCAUCAGAUGAGAUAAUUAAUUGUCAGACAGCCAAAGACUAAGUAAAUAUGCAUGUAGUUGAAAAGUCUAUGCAAACAGAAGAAUUAAAUCUGUACAUAUUCCUACUGCUCUGAACCUGUCUGUUCCAGACUGAUCAUACCAUUUCAGGAGUGAAACCAGCUGACAGUAUAACCAGGUUUUCAGGCAGAGUUUGUGCUGUUGCAAUCCUGAAGAGAUAUGAUCAAGAACCUGCAACCUUGUCUGUGCUAGCUUUGCCAGCAUUAACAAGGGGGUGACAAGCUCCCUGGUGUUACCUGAAAACUCUGAGAAGGGAGACUGGUAUUUGCUAAUCUAAUUCACGAACGCUGCAACCCAUUCUGUUUCUUGGUAUAUUGCAACUAUUCUUUCAGCUUGUAAAAUUAAAAAACUUAUGUCCUGUAAAAUGCACAUCUAAGCAGAUGUAUGAGAUCUGCAAUGUCUUGGUAUUCCAAAUGCUUCUGUGAUUAGAUUAUUAAGUUCUUAGUAAAUUAAA